AAGUCGUAACAAGGUUUCCGUAGGUGAACCUGCGGAAGGAUCAUUAUCACGUAUCCAAACGUAUAAACCCAAUGUGCACCUCAAAUUCCUCCUCUGGAAAUGAAGUGGCAGAGAAGUUGAUAUUCUGAUUCAUGGUCUUUCAGAAUUCUCUGUCUUGAUCUAAAACUUUAUUGUUUUAGUUCAGCCUUCUACUCCGGGAGUCGUAUCAAACCAUGCUUGUUUUACUAAACAACUUGUACCUUUCUGAACUAACUUUGGUUGGAAAAAAACAACAGGUCUUCGGAUCUGGCUGUUUUUUGAUAACCUUGAUUUAUAUAAACUCUGAACUACUCUUAACAACGGAUAUCUUGGUUUUC
Molecule: unclassified non-coding RNA, 356 nt
Filed under: fungal sp.
Lineage: Eukaryota; Fungi
Description: partial internal transcribed spacer region
Rfam family: Eukaryotic small subunit ribosomal RNA (bases 1-46)
Source: RNAcentral